This is a non-coding RNA of Neopsephotus bourkii (Bourke's parrot), 440 nucleotides long. The record is from the annotation of a RefSeq genome assembly. NCBI's taxonomy places the organism in Eukaryota, Metazoa, Chordata, Aves, Psittaciformes, Psittacidae.
CCACCACCACCACCAUGGCCUUCCCCAUCCUCCUCCUCCUCCUGCUGGCCUCCAUCCCAGCCCUGCGGGCGGCCGUGACGCUGGAGGAGAGCGGCGGCGGCCUCCAAAGGCCCGGGGGCUCCAUGAGGCUCCUGUGCAAGGCCUCGGGCUUCCCCUUCCCCUCCCACCCCAUGGCUUGGAUGCGCCAAGCACCGGGGCGGGGGCUCCAAUGGGUCGCUACCAUUGACCCCAAUGGGGGUGGCACCGGCUAUGGGGCAGGGGUGUGGGGCAGGGCCUCCAUCAGCAGGGACAACCCCCAUGGCACGGUCACGCUGCGGCUGAGCGGGCUCACGGAGCGGGAUGCGGGCACUUACUACUGUGGGAAGGGUGGGCACGAUGCCCUCCUCCUCCUCCCCAUGCUUCUGAUGGAGAAACGGGUUAAAACCUCCAUCCGGACCUAA